CCUAAAAGGAAUAACAACGGGUCUCGUGCAGUUGAGGCUCGAGCGCUGGCUGUUCAGGGUAGUUAAACUGAAUCCGAGACGAUAUUAAGGUUAAAUGGUUUAACUACCUGAAGCGUUUCCUGAAUGUGUGUCGUUGACAAAUUAACAGUCUCAAGUUAUGAAGAGGAGAAAAGUUUUUAAUUCAGAAAUUGCAACAAGGAAAAGACCCAAAACUAAAACCUUCUCCAAGGAUGGUCAGUUGAUACGGCCAGUGAAAGGACUGUCUAAAGCUGAGAUUCAAGACCUGAUACAGAAAGAAAUUCUCGCAAAACUGAAACAGUCAGAUGAAAAGAUGGAUGAACUCAUUGGAAGAAUCCAAAAAAUUGAGUUGAUUUCCAGUUAUGAGGGAAGGCUUUACAAACUCCAAGCAGACAUUAAGAAGAUAAAAAGGAGGGGGCAGGCUGCUUUGGUAUACAUGAGAAAACUGCAACCAUCAGGGACAGAAAUGUCACCCGAAGAACUCAAUCAGAGGGCUUCCUUCAGCAGUAUGGGUUCUGAGCUAUCAUAUACUAUGGAUUCAGCAGCCUCUGUACAUGUGCCACCCGGGCUUGUUCCUUCUGAGACUACGGUCAGAGACCACACAGAUGUGGUCUCUUCCACAGGAGAAAAACUAAAUAAAAUCCACACAACUGGAUAAUUCUUACAAGGUUUGUUUCCAAUAAGCCAGUGCAGAAUUGUGAGACUGCCUCUGUGGAAUGUAAAGCUUUGUUUUGCUUGACCUUCAGGAUUUUUUUUCCUUGGCCAUGGGCUAUGCAGUUUUGCUCCUGUGGAUCAAAGUGGCAAUAAACAGCCGUCUGCUCUUUCUGAGAAAGUUUCAUUGUGUAAUAGAAGGAGUGGAAGCACUCCUUGAGAACAUUCCAGAGGUUUCUGUCCUCACUUGAUACCUGAGAGAAAAUGUUUAAUGUAAUAUCAAAUGCCCUUUGAAGCUGAACAGCAGUUUUAAGUGUCAAGUCCACUAAUUCUUCAGAAAUAUGUCGCAAAGCACUUUCUACUCUGUGAAAGCUGAUCAGUGCCAUCUAGUGCUUUCAAGAAGUAUUUCUGAAAAUUACUAUGGCUCCUGGUUAUGCUUUGUUGGAGCACCAUCUCAACCUGCCUGCACACCCCAAAGUUUUGAGACUCAGUCCAACACUCAAGGCUGCGCAGAAGUCCAGGAAGAAACUGAGGAGGUGAUAUAUUGCGGGGUCAUGUUGCCUAAAACGAGUACCGUUGAAGGAUCUUGCCAGAAGCAGCUCAAAGGGAAUCCUGCAGUUGAUCUCACAUCUGAAAGCAAAGAAGAGGACACAGCGGGAGCAUUGAACUCAAGCAGGGAAGGUAACGACACAGCAGUCGGCCCAUCCCAAAUGCAGCCAUUGAAAAAUACAAAAAAUAUUCAUUCAGGAGUAGGAAUGCUGAGACAAAGUACACCGGAAGCUCCUCCUCAUUGGACCCAUGCUGAGGGUGACUGGCUUUCGAAACAGCCCCCCCUUCCUGCUAUUUCGCUUCCGAACUACCUGCUGUUUCAGGCCGAGGUAACACAGCCACCUCAGAAGCUGGGGGUGGAGCAAAUCGAAAGGCCUGAAGGGAUUGGCCUGCAGUGGACUGCUAUCCAGGCACAGCCCUGCACCUUUACUGGACAGUUCUUCCCACUACUUCACCCGGACACACAGCUGCGGCUGAUAUUUGGAGUGGAGCAACAUAGAAGUGAUCAAAGUUAUACCUAUUCCCAUGACCUAUAAGUUGACCUUCUAUGGCACAGGGCAUUGAUUCUACUUCACUAAUGUGGCAAACAUAAGUGUAGCAUUUUUGUGAUGUUUUUUCAUCAUAAGUACAUGAAUUGGACCUCGGCUGCAACUUUAGAGUUUAGUGUUGUAUCAGAGUUGUAGUGUAAGCACAUGAAAAUGAUUUGAUAUGUUUAACGUUUUUGUGUCCUGGGAUACUAUUCAGUUUAUGCCCUGAGGCAUUUGAAUGUCAUGCAAAUGUCAAACGACAGCUCAACGAUAAGAGAAUGAGCAACAUUGCAGGUGAAGGGUGUUUUGUUCGUUUUUUUUUUUUUUUUAAAGUACAUUGAAUUGGAACAAUCCACAUUGUACAGUACCAAAGGUGGUGUCCCAUAUCAUCAUCCACUGAAGAUCUUGAGAGCUGGAGCUUUGUGAUUUUAUCACAUUGCAAAAACCCAGACGUGUUAGGCUGAUGUAACACAAACCAAUUUAAUUAGCAUACAAUAAAGAGAGCGAUGGCAUUUUGAAAUAAUACAAAAAAAUCAACAGUGAAACAAUUCAUAGAAGUCUACAAAAUAAAUAGUUCUUUUGUUUUCCCCAA
This is an RNA transcript of Brienomyrus brachyistius, 2337 nucleotides long. RefSeq lists it as uncharacterized. The record is from RefSeq and is a predicted model, not a curated record. NCBI's taxonomy places the organism in Eukaryota, Metazoa, Chordata, Actinopteri, Osteoglossiformes, Mormyridae. The transcript is spliced from 14 exons.